UUGGCUCAGAACGAACGCUGGCGGCAGGCCUAACACAUGCAAGUCGAACGGUAGCACAGAGAGCUUGCUCUCGGGUGACGAGUGGCGGACGGGUGAGUAAUGUCUGGGAAACUGCCUGAUGGAGGGGGAUAACUACUGGAAACGGUAGCUAAUACCGCAUAACGUCGCAAGACCAAAGAGGGGGACCUUCGGGCCUCUUGCCAUCAGAUGUGCCCAGAUGGGAUUAGCUGGUAGGCGGGGUAAUGGCCCACCUAGGCGACGAUCCCUAGCUGGUCUGAGAGGAUGACCA
This 289-nucleotide ribosomal RNA is filed under the name uncultured Klebsiella sp. RNAcentral describes it as "partial 16S ribosomal RNA". It matches the Rfam family "Bacterial small subunit ribosomal RNA", at positions 19 to 306 of the family's 1533-position model. Lineage: Bacteria; Pseudomonadati; Pseudomonadota; Gammaproteobacteria; Enterobacterales; Enterobacteriaceae. The record is from RNAcentral.